AGAUUGAACGCUGGCGGCAUGCCUUACACAUGCAAGUCGAACGGCAGCACGGGAGCAAUCCUGGUGGCGAGUGGCGAACGGGUGAGUAAUACAUCGGAACGUGCCCAAUCGUGGGGGAUAACGCAGCGAAAGCUGUGCUAAUACCGCAUAAGAUCUACGGAUGAAAGCAGGGGAUCGCAAGACCUUGCGCGAAUGGAGCGGCCGAUGGCAGAUUAGGUAGUUGGUGAGGUAAAGGCUCACCAAGCCUUCGAUCUGUAGCUGGUCUGAG
Molecule: ribosomal RNA, 268 nt
Filed under: uncultured soil bacterium
Lineage: Bacteria
Description: partial 16S ribosomal RNA
Rfam family: Bacterial small subunit ribosomal RNA
Source: RNAcentral